UACGUAGGGGGCAAGCGUUGUCCGGAAUCAUUGGGCGUAAAGCGCGUGUAGGCGGACUGGAAGGUCUGGUGUGAAAGCCCGGGGCUCAACCCCGGAGGGUCACUGGAAACCGACAGUCUUGAGUCCGGAAGAGGAGAGUGGAAUUCCUGGUGUAGCGGUGAAAUUCGUAGAUAUUAGGAAGAACACCGGUGGCGAAGGCGGCCCACUGGAUCGGUACUGGACGCUGAGGUGCGAAAGCGUGGGGAGCAAACAGG
Molecule: ribosomal RNA, 254 nt
Filed under: uncultured bacterium
Lineage: Bacteria
Description: partial 16S ribosomal RNA
Rfam family: Bacterial small subunit ribosomal RNA
Source: RNAcentral